UCUGGUUGAUCCUGCCAGAGGCCACUGCUAUCCGGCUGGGACUAAGCCAUGCGAGUCUAGGGGCUUGUUGUCCUUCGGGGAUGCAAGCACCGGCGGACGGCUCAGUAACACGUGGACAACCUGCCCUCGGGUGGGGGAUAACCCCGGGAAACUGGGGCUAAUACCCCAUAGGGGAUGGGUACUGGAAUGUCCCAUCUCCCGAAAGCGCUCCAGCGCCCGAGGAUGGGUCUGCGGCGGAUUAGGUUGUUGGUGGGGUAACGGCCCACCAAGCCGAAGAUCCGUACGGGCUGUGGGAGCAGGAGCCCGGAGAUGGACCCUGAGACACGGGUCCAGGCCCUACGGGGCGCAGCAGGCGCGAAACCUCCGCAAUGCGGGAAACCGCGACGGGGUCAGCCGGAGUGCCCGUGCAUCGCACGGGCUGUCGGGGUGCCUAAACAGCACCCCAUAGCAAGGGCCGGGCAAGGCCGGUGGCAGCCGCCGCGGUAAGACCGGCGGCCCGAGUGGCGGCCACUCUUAUUGGGCCUAAAGCGUCCGUAGCCGGCCCAGUAAGUCCCCCGGGAAAUCUGGUCGCUUAACGAUCAGAUUCCCGGGGGAUACUGCUGGGCUAGGGACCGGGAGAGGCCGAGGGUAUUCCCGGGGUAGGGGUGAAAUCCUGUAAUCCCGGGAGGACCACCUGUGGCGGAAGGCGCUCGGCUGGAACGGGUCCGACGGUGAGGGACGAAGGCCUGGGGAGCGAACCGGAUUAGAUACCCGGGUAGUCCAGGCUGUAAACGAUGCGGGCUAGGUGUCACCGGAGCUACGAGCUCCGGUGGUGCCGGAGGGAAGCCGUUAAGCCCGCCGCCUGGGAAGUACGGCCGCAAGGCUGAAACUUAAAGGAAUUGGCGGG
This 886-nucleotide ribosomal RNA is filed under the name uncultured archaeon. RNAcentral describes it as "bacterial SSU rRNA". It matches the Rfam family "Archaeal small subunit ribosomal RNA", at positions 1 to 872 of the family's 1478-position model. The record is from RNAcentral.